GAUGAACGCUGGCGGCGUGCCUAAUACAUGCAAGUCGAGCGAACGGACGAGAAGCUUGCUUCUCUGAUGUUAGCGGCGGACGGGUGAGUAACACGUGGAUAACCUACCUAUAAGACUGGGAUAACUUCGGGAAACCGGAGCUAAUACCGGAUAAUAUUUUGAACCGCAUGGUUCAAAAGUGAAAGACGGUCUUGCUGUCACUUAUAGAUGGAUCCGCGCUGCAUUAGCUAGUUGGUAAGGUAACGGCUUACCAAGGCAACGAUGCAUAGCCGACCUGAGAGGGUGAUCGGCCACACUGGAACUGAGACACGGUCCAGACUCCUACGGGAGGCAGCAGUAGGGAAUCUUGCGCAAUGGGCGAAAGCCUGACGGAGCAACGCCGCGUGAGUGAUGAAGGUCUUCGGAUCGUAAAACUCUGUUAUUAGGGAAGAACAUAUGUGUAAGUAACUGUGUACAUCUUGACGGUACCUAAUCAGAAAGCCCCGGCUAACUACGUG
This 497-nucleotide ribosomal RNA is filed under the name uncultured bacterium. RNAcentral describes it as "partial 16S ribosomal RNA". It matches the Rfam family "Bacterial small subunit ribosomal RNA", at positions 28 to 507 of the family's 1533-position model. The record is from RNAcentral.